CCUACGGGAGGCAGCAGUGGGGAAUAUUGCACAAUGGGGGAAACCCUGAUGCAGCGACGCCGCGUGCGUGAAGAAGUAUUUCGGUAUGUAAAGCUCUAUCAGCAGGGAAGAAAAUGACGGUACCUAAUUGAGAAGACACGGCUAACUACGUGCCAGCAGCCGCGGUAAUACGUAGGGGGCAAGCGUUAACCGGAUUUACUGGGGGGAAAGGGAGCGUAGACGGCAGCACAAGUAUGGAGUGAAAUGCCGGGGCUUAACCCCGGAACUGCUUUGGAAACUGGGCAGCUAGAGUGCAGGAGAGGUAAGUGGAAUUCCUAGUGUAGCGGUGAAAUGCUUAGAUAUCACGAAGAACUCCGAUUGCGAAGGCAGCCUACUAAACUGCCACUGACAUUGAUGCUCGAAAGUGUGGGUAGCAAACAGGAUUAGAUACCCUAGUAGUC
RNAcentral lists this ribosomal RNA (440 nucleotides) under uncultured bacterium. RNAcentral's name for it is "partial 16S ribosomal RNA". It matches the Rfam family "Bacterial small subunit ribosomal RNA", at positions 338 to 795 of the family's 1533-position model. The record is from RNAcentral.